GUCAGGAUGGCCGAGCGGUCUACGGCGCUGCGUUAAGGUCGCAGUCCACUUAUGUGGGCGUGUGUUCGAAUCCCAACUUCUGACA
This is a non-coding RNA of Trichonephila clavipes, 85 nucleotides long. Lineage: Eukaryota; Metazoa; Arthropoda; Arachnida; Araneae; Nephilidae. The record is from the annotation of a GenBank genome assembly.